Long non-coding RNA from Neltuma alba, 370 nucleotides. RefSeq lists it as uncharacterized. The transcript has 2 exons. The record is from RefSeq and is a predicted model, not a curated record. Lineage: Eukaryota; Viridiplantae; Streptophyta; Magnoliopsida; Fabales; Fabaceae.
CGACAAAGUGCUCCUCCUGCUGUCCCAAUUGAAUUUGGAAUCUACAAAGGAUCACAGUCGUGAGAAAUAGAUUACCUGGCUAUAAUCUAUUACUUGAUCGAUCAGCAUGCAAUUGAGUAGCGAUCUCUGUUGUUGCAUAUUGUGGACACGGGUUAAGUAGGACAAGCUAGAAUAAUGACGACGUAGUAUCCCAUGGUGUCAUGGCUAUUAUGGAGGGGCUAGUGUUAUUGUGUUGUGUCAACUUCAAAUUUAUGUCGAACGUUUGUUUGAAUAAUGCUUGACUGAUGUUGGCUAAUUUGUUUUGAAAUUGGUACCUUGCAGUAUGCAAACUGUGAUUUGUUUUGAUACAAAUGAAGGCUAAUUUUCUUUU